RNAcentral lists this long non-coding RNA (307 nucleotides) under Solanum tuberosum (potato). RNAcentral describes it as "long non-coding RNA (STUB_LNC002959)". Lineage: Eukaryota; Viridiplantae; Streptophyta; Magnoliopsida; Solanales; Solanaceae. The record is from RNAcentral.
UCAAUUCUCUCAGUAUAUUAAGUAAUGUAUCAGACAACCAAUGAAUGUAUUCGAGAGCAAUAAAAAAUACGAUUUUUUUGUAAUUGAGGAAGCUUUCGAGAUAAGAUGUAAUUAGCCCCAAUUAUAUGGGAUUUCUGUAAGUUAUACAAAUUUUUAUGUAUAAAUUAUAGGAACCACAUAUUAAAAGUACUAAAUAACAUCUCAUCCCUUUUAGUUUUCUAUUUACCAAAAAUCUCUUAAAAAUGAUGUUUGCGGGAUACAUAGCAUUGUGCACGGGAUACAUUAGGUUUGAUACACUUCACAUAGC